UUCCAGCGUAAUAUCUUGAUCCACUCAUCAGCUUCUACUCCUGUCUUUGCACAGAGAUAGAAUGUCCGGAAUGGAAAUACUAAGCUAGUAAGACAAAAGAAACAAUGUUCAGAUAUUCCAGAGGGCUGGUUGCUUAUAUAUAAUUGGUUGAACAUUAUCUAGAGUAUUUCAAGAGAGAAAAGAAAUCAGUAAAGGGCCUGGGCAAGCAACUUGAUGAACUGCUACAUAUGAUAUCCCUGCUAGCAAACUGCAGAAGUGGUGAGGAAAUUAUAGAUUCAUAUCACAGGCCAGGUUUGUAUUCUCUACUGAGACUUCAAAGAAGAAAAAGAACAUGUCCAGCACACCCCAACACUCCCUAGAAACUUUUGUUGUUCCAUUUUUAGCUGAAUACGCCACUCAUGUAUUUAUUCAGCUGAUCUCUCAAAGGACUCAGAGAACCUGUGCUGUGAUUCAAAGAGUAAGCGAGACAAGUAAGAGAGGUGUUGAAAGAACUCAUUUAUGACCUUCAUGGAUGGAAGACAUUUUAACUACUUAGGACAGGAAAAAGAGACAAUAAAAUUUGUUAGCUAUUCAUUUUGGCCACCAUUGGUCAUAAAUCAGCCUCUGCUGGAGGAAAAAUGAACUUUCCUACCUAGUGGCAAGGAAGAAUUUUUCUAGGAAUAUGGUAAUUGAUUUGACUGUCUCUUUGGCUAUAUAAUCAAAAUCAUUUGACCUAAAAGAUCAGUCAUAGUUUAUAUCCUGCCCAUAAUUCCUGUCUUUCCAGUUGUUAUACAAAACAUUAAAAAUCUUUUUUUUUUCCUCUCUCAUGGAAAAAAGAAAUCCUUGAAUUGAAAUUCAGAAGGAUUUCUAUCUACAAAAGCCUAAGCAGCAAAUUUUGCCUGUACCAGUAAUUAUUAUACAGAUAAGAGGUAAGUCCCUGUGUAUAAAGGGUCAGUCCUUGAUGUGAGGUCCAGCUGGAGUAUAACUGGAGAGCGAUGGGGAGAGGAGUGACAGCGUGCAUACACUGUAUAAAAUUGGGCUCUGGGAUUGUUGUUCGGAAUUCCCUGUGGGAGAUGCUAAUAAUUGCCUACUAACACAGAUAUUUUUUUUUUCCUUUCUCCUUGCUGGCAGAACCCCCAAGCAAUAAGCAUAAUUACUUUAAGCCAAUCAUGACCAUUCUAUUACUCUUUUCUGACCUGCCCUCCUGCUGGGGAGGGACAUGGGACUCUUGGCCAAUAAGAUAUGAAGGGAAAUCUAAUAGGGGAGUAAAGCCCUGGUGGUACAGUGGUUAAGAGCUAUGGCUGCUAACCAAAAAGUCACCAGUUCGAAUCUACUGGCAGCUCCUUGGAAACCCUGUGGGACAGUUCUACUCUGUCCUCUGGGGUUGCUAUGAGUUGGAAUCAACUCAACGGCAAUGAGUUUUUUUUUUUUUUUUGAAUAGGAGAAUUUCUGGAAGAACUUUUGCUUUCCUGAUUAAAAAAAGAAAGACAUGGCCAAUACCAUCAUGCACUCUUUUAUUCCUGUCCUAUAUACAGACAUGAAGGCUGAAGCUGGCAUAGCCAUCUUAGACCUUGAGUAGCAAGCAUGAGGAAAAGACCAAGAGAAUGUAGAGAUAUUGGUCCUGACCUUGUCAAGGUGGCUGCCUGCCUCCAGAUUUCUUGUUAUAUGAGAAAAAUAUACAGCUUCUCUCUCAUAUGGCACUUUAGUGCAGAUUUUCUUAGUUGUGAUAAUAUUCUAGUUCUUAGGAAAUGCAUACUCAAGUAUUUAGAGAUAUAGCUCCAUGAUGUCUGUAAUUCACUUUCAAUUGGUUCAGAGGAAAAAAAGUGGACAGAGAUAAAGCAAAUAUGGCUGUAUAGUAGCAACUGAUGCAUCUAGAUGAAGGGGUAUUUGUAUAUAUAAGUCUUUCAACUUUUUAUACACUUUGAACACUUUAAAACAAAAAUUAGUAGAAAAUAAUCCACUCCUUUUUCAAGACAUUUUACUUCUCCCAGUUAGAAAAUUGUCAUAAUAUACUGAUAAUGUUAGAACAAAACACCGCCAGAAAUUGUCAUAAACAUACAAAUCACCCAUCCUUGGAGUCAAUGAAGUUGUAAUUAAAAUUAAGUAAAAAGCUCAAAUGAAUAAAGCUGUCUGAAAUGUGAAUGGCAUCCUCUUAGGUGUGUCGUACAUGUGCAGUAUACAACCUAAGCAGUUGGACCCAGCAGGCUUGCCUACUUGUUUAAACCACUUUAAAUGAGGUAUUAUGUCACACGCAGCCAGAAGCGCUCCUAACUGAUGUCUCAUGCAAUGGCUAAGUCCACAUCCCUCAGGUCAGAACAUUUUACUGCAUUAAGACAUACCGUUUCUUAUUCCUUAGCUAAAAUAAGUCAUUGGCAAGAACACUUUUAAAAACAUUUCAUUUAUAAAACAACUUACCAAAAACAGUUUACUUUUUCCUGUGAGUAAUCGAAUUGUACAGCUGAACAUUCUGUUAAGUCUAGGAUCCGAAUUGGUUCUGGUGACUUCAUUAAAAAAAAAAAAAAAAAAGCAGCCUAUGUCAGCAUAAAAUGCACACACACACACAUCUGCCCACUACCAUUCCCCUAACGGUUUUGCACUACUUACAAUUUUACUUUCACUGAGAGAACUGAAACUAGAGAAGCCUUAUAAGGGAAGUCACACACACCUGGUUUGGGGAUUAACCUUCCACAACACAGGGUAUUAAGAAGAGAUUGCCUUUAUCAAUUUACAUUUAAGGGAGAUGGAUUUUAACACAUGGAUGGGGGUUAUGUUUUUCUUCCAUCUUCUUAAACUUCUACUUGCUCAGAAAUUUUGUAUAGGGAAGGUGAGAGAAAUAAUUUCAGGCUUAACGAAAAGGAUAUGGGAAAUAGGCAUGUUUUAAAAAAUUUAUUUUAUUUUUGUUUUUGUGAAUAUACACAUCAGAACAUAGACCAAUUCAAUAAUUUCUGCAUGUACAAUUCAGUGACAUUGAUCACAUUCUUCUAGCUGUGAUCAAUUGUUCCUCUUUCCCUAACAUAAACUCACUGCUCCUAAGUUUCCUACCUAAUCUUUUGAGUCACUGUUGUCAGUUUGAUCCCCUGUAGUAGAUCUUAAAAGAGUACAAUGCCCAAGGCAGACAUUUACUAGUUAAGCUAAACUAUUGCUUGGUUUUAAGAAGACUUCAGGGGCCAUCUUUUGUUUAAGGUUUAAGGAUUAUUUUAGGGCAAUAGUUUCAGGCGCUCAUCCAGCCUCCAUAGCUCCAGAAAGUCUAGAUUCCAUGAGAAUUUGUGAAAUUCUUUUCUGCAUUUUCCUCCUUUUGAUCAGGAUUCUUCUAUAGAAUCUUUGAUCAAAUUGUUCAGUAAUGGUGGUUGGGCACCAUCCAGUUCUUCUGGCCUCAUAGCAAAAAGGGCAGUUGUUCAUGGAGUCAAUUAGUCACACAUUUCGGGAAAUGAACAAAUGUUUAAUAAAUAGGGAAAUUGCUUCACAGAGGCAAUAAAUUAUGGCAAGAGAAUGAUUCCAUUGUCCUAGACAGGCAGAAUUAUAUUCUCUGGGAGCCACAGCCUAGCCACUCUAAGAGAGCAAUUUCUGGAAUAUCCAUCUCAUCUUUGCAAAAUAGCUCUGCUCAUGUGAGGAAUCAGGGAUUCACACUCCCCAUUAUUUAUUGGAUUUUGUUUUGUUUUGGGGUGGGCAUAGGAGAUUUUCAGGGAUUUUAAACCAGAUGUUCCUUUCUUCUAAAGAGCUGAUGUUUAAAGGGAAAAUGUGCUAUGUUUCUCACCAUUUGGUCUUUGAAAUACUUCAGUUCAUUCCUGUGCAACGUGAACCACCUUGUUUUCCAUGUCUGAGGAAAAAAAAAUUUAAUUAAAACACAUCAGAUAUAGAAUAAAGGAAGCAAUAUUUGAAUUAGACAAUUUCCUUUCCUUUUAAAAAUAUCUAUAAGAUUAAUACAAUAAGCCUUAAAAACAUUCUUGUGGUAAGAAUUGUUCCUGAUAAAAACAUUUCAGGAUAUCUAAAAAAAUUUAAAUUAUUUCAUUUGUUAAUUUUAUAACAAAGGCAGACAUCAUUAAAUAGCAUUUAAAUAAAAGAAAAUAGCCUAUAUAAAUAUUCAAGAUGUUUUAUAACAAAAGACUAGAAUGUUCAUCUUAUUAACUAUAACAAGAAUAGGUAUCAUUCUUUGAGUACCUACUAUGGGCUACAUACUAUCCUCUGAGGUUUAUUAUAUGUUAGCCAUUCCUCACACAACAAUGCCAAAUAUUAUUGUUUUUGUUUUGCUAAUAAGCAAGUUGAGGUUCAGGGUCCCCAAACCACCUGAUUUUCUAAACCUUGCCUAAAAAUUCUAUGGCAUUUGUGGCAGAAACUUCUAGUUGCCUCUCAGUAUCUGUUGUCUUCUUUUUAUAUAUUACCAGAAUUCUAAAACACACUUGGCUGCUAACUGAAAGGUUGAAGGUUCGAGUCCACCUAGGGGCACCUCAGAAGAAAGGCCUGAAAAUCUACUUCCAAAAUGUCACAGCCAUUGAAAACCCUAUGGAACACAGUUCUACUUCAAAAUACACAGGGUCACCAUGAGCCAGAAUUGACUCAACAACAACUGGUUAAUCUUAUUCCAGGAGCAAUCUGCCCAGAUAAUCUCUUGAGACCCAUGUUCCAUGGAGCAGACUUUCAGGAGUACAGAUUUAUUUAUACCUGACUUUUUUGUCCGAAAGGAAUUUGAAGUCAUUUAUACCGGGAGUAUUCAACAAACAAGAAGAAAAGAAGAACAGAGGAGCCUUGAGAAAAAUGAAAGGAAGAGUGUGCCAGAGAGGACUGAUUGUAGGGUCACAGUUCACAGAACAAACAUAAAUGGAAUCUCAGAAGAACAAUGGGUGCCCCAAUUGCACUGAAACUGAACAAUGGCCCGAGUUCCAUGGGCGUGCAGAUGUUUUCUGUCUGUUCACUUCAGUCAGUGAAGGAAAAACAUCUGGGAAAAAAUGACAUCUCAAAGUUUUAUUGUAAAGUUAGAGAAUAUUUUUCUACCCUAGGCAGUUGAAAUGUAAAAACAAACAAACAAAAAAAAUUAUAUAAGAACCUUGUCCAAGAAUAACAGUUUAGCCAAUCCAUUCUAUCAUGAACUUGUUUGCUAAGGAUGGGAAUUCAAGUGUCAUUUUUAAAGUAUUUAGAAUCCUAUGACUAUUGCGUUGCAUUUUUUAUGCGUUUACCCUGGACCAGAUGAAUGAGCCAUGGGCUUCAAAACUUAUGUUCUUGUCCAAGUUUUAUACCCCAAAUUAGAAUUUUUAUGUGAAAAAAUGUAGUUAGAAAAGCAUGCAGCUCUUAUCGCACUUAAGGCUUUUAGACGAGAGGGAGCUUGUGAUCAAGCUGGUGGUCACUUACAGAAGGAGCAGUGGGCACGAGGUCAUUUUCUGUUCUUCCUGUCUGCAUGGCGGUGUGAACCCGCACGGAUUCAUAAAUGGAAGGCUCUUCCACUUUCCUUGGAUAGGGAUGCUUCAGGACAAUCAGAGUGCCUGAGGUAGACAACAACAACAACAAAAAAAAAAGUGAUCAAAUAGUAUCACCAGAAGGAAGGUCCAAAUGCUAACAACUGGGUAACUGUGACUAGAGUGUACAAUCUCUUAUUUUCUCAUUUAUUCACUUGUUCAUUUUCUUAGCUGGACCAACAAAAAGUCUACCUGGAAAAUCUCUACCAACCAGGUAACUGCCAUCAAGUUGAUUCUGACUUAUAAGCUGGACACUGGAGGUAUAAAGAAACAUGAGACAAUUUCUGGCCUCCUAGUGCUCAGAACUAGUAAGAGAUAAGAACUAGUAAGAGAUAUAGUCAUUUAAAUAAACAGGAUGAUGGGACCAAUACUAGCAAUGUAAUCAAGUCCUAGUGGUGGUACCCAGGAGGGACUGAAGAACCCUUCUAUGAAAUGUUUAAGGAAAGCUUCGUAGAGGAGACCAUAUUUGAUCUACAGCUUAAAUAAUGACUAGAAGUUUUUUGGAGUCAGUCCCUGAGUGAUGUAGACAGUUAAAAUGCUCCACUGCUAAGCGAAAGGUUGGAGGUUUGAGUCCAUCCAGAGGGGCCUUGGAAGAAAGGCCUAGAGAUCUACUUCUGAAAAAUCAGCCACUGAAAACCCUGUGGGGCAGUUUUACUCUGACAUGCACAGGGUCGCCUUUUGUUGGAAUCGACUUGAGGGCAGUUAGUUGGUUGGUCGAGAUUUAGCAGGUAGACUUCACAGAAGUCUUGGAAACAAAACCAAGCACAUGCACUGUGGUAUAGGAGGAUUUAUUACAUUGUCCUCAUUUCUUACCAGUUCCAGAACAACUUGUAACAAUUCAGUGAACACAAUGAAAUAACAGCACUCCGCCCUCUCUCCUGCCACCCAAAUUAACUCAAUAAACUAAACAAAGCUUUCCUUAAGUGAAUAUGAAAUGAACAUGCCGGUGCUCAUGUGAGACUGCUUCGAAUUCUGUCUGGAGGAAGAGAGGUCCAGGCAGAAGAAGGACCCUCCCUAAAGGACCAAAUGUGUCCUUAUGGGCUUGGAGUUUUUGAUCUGAGAAUUUGGAACACUUCUGGCAUUUCCCCCCUCUGAACAUUUCCUUCCCGCAAUCCAUCAGUCAAUCAUAAACUAGGAACUUUGGCUGUAAAAAAGAUAAGUGAAGGGUUUUUCUUUUUCUCCUCUUGCUAUGAUCUCUUGCUUUUUAUUUCACUAGGGUCUUUUAUGCGGCAAGCCUGGGAUAGUACUAGAUACUGGGGUAGGUGUAAGUAAUUCAUUAAUUCAUUCAACAACCACCUAUUGAACUCUGCUCUGUGCCAGGCACUUGUCUAGGCACUGGGGAUACAAUAGCAAACAAAAGAGACACAGAGCCUAUUCUUAUGGAACUCACAUUCUAGUUGGAGAAGACAGGCAAAAAAUUUGAAAAAAAAAAUACACAAAUAGAAUAUAUCAGGUAGGGAGACGUAUUAUGAAGAAACUCAGAAAGCAGGUUAAAGCAGAUACAGAGUAAAAAGAGUAGGGUCAGGGUGGGUGAUAUUUGAUAUGGAUGGACAGAAAAGGCCUCUUAAAAAGGAGAUUUGAAGGAUUACAGAAAAGUAUGGUGUCCUGGCCUCAAACUGGAAUAAGAGAGGCACAAUGAGGAAAGGAAAAUACCUCCCCAGCAGUUAAAAACCCGUUAGUAAUAAUGAUAAAUCUAAAAAGAAGACAAAACCAUCCUACGGUACCUGACAUGUAUAAUGUUCUGACUGCAAAAACAACUGUGGCUUCUGAAACCCGGGCCUGGAUAAGGCACUGCUGUCAAAUGAAAAGAAGGAGCACUGAGAAAAACCAAAAGCAGUUCUCUGAUCUCGGCCCCAGAGAAGAGUGAGAGCCUCUAGCCUUCUCUUCUUUCUACAUCUAAUUCAUGUCAGUCGCAUUGGGAUCACAAUGAAAAAUGGCUUUUGUGGUUAUCGGGAGCCCCAGGCCUGCUCUUGCAGUAGCAUUGUCUGUGUUCUUUUGUCCAUGUGAUCCUUUCAUGAGAACAGAUCCAGUCAUAUAAAAAGAGGGGGACAGUUACAGUUUUACAGUCAUAAUGAAAGUAGUGACACCUAAAUCAAGAGCGGCCGUUGUGCAGACAGACACACGGGCUGUGAGAACGCAGUAUAACACUGCAGAUGCUCUGUGAUUUCGGGCUAGCUCCUACAACCCACCCGAUAGAAGCACCUCCAGGGCUCUGCCUGUGCUCACACUGCCAUGAAGCAAAGAAUGCUGCGUGUGCAGGCAUGGAGCAGGGCCUGGCUGCCGCUGCCGCUGGGAACCUGGGGACCUUUGACAGCCAUUUCAAGUUCCCUGCUCCUCCUCUGACAACUCAGAAUACAGUGAAACCUGUGAGGGGUGGAACUCGAUGGGGCUGCCUUGUUUUUCCAGGUCUCGAAAGUUUUCCUCGUGGACGGAGUGCUGUCUUACUACUUUUCUAUCCCUCUCUAUUAGUGGAAAAUAUUUGUGUUUUUUUCUUCACCGACAGUCUUCUUACACAGGUUUUGGCUUUCACAGAUUUUACUGUAUUUUAUUUAGCAAGCUGUCUUAAGAUUCAAAUAAAAAAGUAUUUGAGAAAGGAUUAUACAAAUGUUAGGUAUCAUUAUUCUUUGUUAUAGAAUACUUUUAAAUUAUUAAAUGAAAUUCCAAUCUUUGCAUGUUUGGGAACAUGUAUUUUAAAAUGUUAAGUUAAAAAAGAGUCCUAGAUGCAACAUUAUAGUAAGAAUAAAAAUGGCAGUAGUCUAGUCGUCACUGACGAUCAUGCUAAGACAGCUCAGGGACUCUCAAACAUGUCCGCCUGAGAGUAGAGGAGAGGACAACUGGUAGCCUAGGGCUCAAAGCAGCUUGCAAAUUAGAAAAAUGUUGUGUUUGAAGAUAGUCUUCGAAGUUAAUGCUCAAUUAUCAUCCUAUUCCAUGUGCUUAAUGUGAAAAUAAUGGUUUAAUUGAUGCUAUGGGAAGAUUUGUGCUUGUUGUUGUUAGGAGACCCUGUGUACAACAGAACGAAACACUGCCCAGGCCUGCACCAUCCUCACUUUUGUUGCUAAGCUUGAGCCCAUUGUUGAAGCCACUGGGUCAGUCCAUCUCAUUGAGGAGGUUCCUCUUUUUCUAUAUCCUUCUGCUUUACCAAACAUAACAUCCUUCUCCAGGAACUGGUCCCUCUUGAUAAGGUGUCCAAAGUGCACGAGACAAAGUCUUACCAUUCUCGCUUCUAAAGAGCAUUCUGGCUAUAUUUCUUCCAAGACAGAUUUGUUUGUUCUUCUGACAGCCCGUGGCAUAUUCAAUAUUCUUCACCAACACCAGAAUUCAAAGGUAUCAAUUCUUCUCUGGUCUUCCUUAUUCAUUUCCCAGCUUCACAUGCCUAUGAGCUGUUCGAAAACACCAUGACUUGGAUCAGGUGCACCUUAGUCCUUAAAAUGCCACCUUUGCUUUUUAACACAUUAAAGAAGAUUUUUGCCGCAGAUUUGCCUAAUGUAACACUCAUUUGAUUUCUUGACUAUUGCUUCCAAGGGCCUUGAUUGUGGAUCCAAGUAAAAUGAAAUCCUUGUCAACUUUAAGGAAGACCCAUCAGGUUAAUCCUCUCCUUGUGCAUAACCAGGCACACCCUGGUACUGGUGUUCGUUUCCUUUAGCUGCUGUAAAAAAUUGCCACAAACUUAGUGGCUAAAAACAACACAAAUUUAUUAUCUUACAGUCCUCAAGCUCAGAAGUCUGAAAACGGUCUCCCUGGUCUAAAAUCAAGGUGUUGGCAGGACGACAUUUCUUUCUGGAGGCUCUAGAGGAGAAUUUAUUUCCUUGCCUUUUCCAGCUUCUAGAGGCUGCCUGCAUUUCUUCUCUCAUUGUCUUCUUCCUCCGGUUUCAGAGGCAGCAACAGCAGGUCAAGUUCGUCUCAUGUUACCAGCCCUCUCGUUCUCUUCUGUCUCCCUCUUUUACUUAUAAGGAUCCUUGUGAUUACAAUGGCCCCACCUGGAUAAUCCAGGGGAUAAUCGUCCUAUCUCAAGGUCAGUUUAUUAGUAACCUUAAUUCCCCCUUGCCAUGUAACAUAAGAGUCCCUGGGGUGGUACAAGCAUUUAACACACUCGGCUGCUAAUGGAAAGGUUGGAGGUUUGAGUCACCCAGAGGUGCCUCAGAAGAAAGGCCUGGGGAAUUACUUUUGAAAAGUCAGUCAUUGAAAACCCUAUGGAGCACAGCUCUACUCCGACACAUUUAGGGUCACCACGAGUCAGCAUCGACUCAAGGGCAAUUGGUAAUGUAACAUAACAUAGUCACAGGUCUGGGGACUAAUGUGGGCACAUUUGGGGGGCCAUUAACAAGCCAUGCUACAGUACCAGUCCUUGGGAUUUAAACAUAGCCAUAAAGGCCUGUUGAGUGGUAGUGUAAGAGUCUCCGGGUCAGGGGUGAUGCCUAAGCCUGUAGCACUGCGGCUACUUAUAUCAUAAAACCAUUGCCUGUUCAACAUGCACAUUUCCAAACACUAUGAGCCUCUUUAGAGCAGUUUUGAUCCCAAAGUUAUCUUUGUAUCCCCACCACCCGAUAGAGCUCAUGACAUAAUGAAGGCUGGAUAAAUAAACGCAUGAAUGAAUAAACGAAUGCCAUGGUAGAUCAGGUUCAAGUCAGGGAAUAGCCUGGUAUGAACCAGUCUCCUAGGUGCAGAACAACCAUGGCCUGGAGUAAGGACAGUACAAGAUGUCCCAAGUCCCUCCCCAACUUCAGCCAUGGCUCUCCAAACCUUCAUUGGGAGGACCCGAAUUCUAUUCUGAAAACCUCUUCUACAGUUUAACUCACAAAAGGUUAACUGAGGGAAAUGGUAUUGAGUCAACCACCGAAAAAAGAAUCAAAUCCAUUGCCGUUGAGUCAAUUCUGACUGAUAGCUACCCGACAGGAUAGAGUAGAACUGCCCCAUAGGGCUUCCAAGGAGCAGCUGGUAGAUUCGAUAAGGAAAAUCGAAUUAACCAUAGAUUGAUAUGAAGUAGUAAGACAAUGAAUGGGGGUAGACUGAAUUGUGGAAUCAAGAAAAUGAAAAACUACCUAUAAAAUGGUGACCUCUCCCCUGCAAAAAAUCUGGUGUUUUAAUAGACAAGUCUUCUUUGCUGAUCAUUCUUGCCCAAAGAAGGGUCACUACAUAGACUUCUUGAUGAAACUUCCAGGCUUACAAUGAUUUCCCCUUGUAAAGAGGUUCUAUCCCAGUAUACAAAUAUAGAACCCAACAGUGAUAUAGUACUACCCUGGCCCCUCUCCCAUGAACUCCUAGCCUGGGCAGAACUAAUUGGACUCAUUUCCUGGGACUCAGUUACUUCUCUAAAGAGAAGUUUCAUCAACUACUGUUGCUGAAAACCUCAGAGCUGUCCCAUCAUUGAGCUGAUUCCUUACUGUUUCUGGGUUGUUCAGUUUGCCCUUGAAUUCUGGAAAGGUAUACUAAUAUCUUUCCCCCAAAAUUCCACUUCUCCUCUCCUCCCACUUUUUUUUUUUUUUUUAUCUUCAGAUAGCCAGAGUUGCUUUCUGUUAUUUGCAAUCAAAAGAAACUUAUCUAAUAUAGCCACCAAUUCAGGCUCAUUAUAAUUUCCACCAAAGAUCAAAGAUGGUACCUCAGCUCCAUAGGAGAAGAACUCUGGGUUAGUGAUACUCGAGACCAAAUUAACUCCAGGACAUGGUUGGAAGAUUCAGAUAAAAGGCAAUAGGAGGCAAAGGGUGGUAGAGGAAGGAGAGGGAGGAAGAUCAGCAACCACAGGCCUUGGAAACUUGACUGCAAGUUUCACUUCAUUUUCUGAGCUACAUGAGGGAGGCUGUUGUUUCCUGACUUUGAUGUGAAACCUGGUUUCAGAAAUGCUCGGUGGAGGUAUAUGUUUGAGACAAUCAGAGCAGACAUUCCAAAUGGAUUUGACUGAACAGUAACUUACAGAAUACCUAUUACGUAUGUACUAAUGUACCAUGGUGGCGCAGUGGUUAAGUGUUGGACCGCUAACUGAAAUGUUGGUGGUUGGAACCCACCAGCUGCUCCGCAGGAGAAAGAUGUUGCAAUCUGUUUCCGUAAAGAUGUAUAACCUCGGAAAAUCUAUGGAACAGUUCUAUUCUGUCCUAUAGGGUCACUAUGAGUUGAUAUUGACUGGGCUGCAACGGGUAUGGUUUUGAUAUCAUAUAUGUAAUACGAUUAGAUUGUUAGAUUUUAUUGAAAGAAUCUUUAUCAUGUACUCCUGUAGGGAAUUCAGAACAAGAGUAAAAACAGUCUCAAGCCUCAGGCAUUAGUUUGUUAAUCUGAAAUACAGCAUAGUGCAGUGCACUCAUAAUGCCUAAAAGGAAAAUGCUAAUUUACAACAUUUUUUUAAUGCACUAAAGCUAGUGUUUACUCAUCAGGUUUCCCAGUUAGACUGUAAGGUGUUUGAAGGCAAAGAUCAAAUCUGAUUGAUCUAGCUAGCUCAUCAGGGGCUAAGAGUGCCCAGAUAAUAGUUGGCACUCUUAAUAUUUUUUGAUUAAAUUAAAAUAAGAUACAUUAAUUUAUGUUUUAUUAUUGCCUUCAGGUUUUGAGAAUGAGUUUUGCAACUUGCUUAUACACUGUGGGAUUUUCUGCCUCCUUUUGCCAAUGAGAAGUGACUUUUUGGGGUUUUAUAGGAAUAUUCAAGGAGCCUUGGUGGCACUAUAGUUAAGCACGUGGCUGCUAACUGAAAGAUUGGUGGUUCAACCCAUCAGCGGCUAUGUGGAAGAAAAGACCUGACCACCUGUUCUCAUAAUGAUUACAGCCUAGGAAAUCCUAUGGCACGCUUCUAUUCUGUCCUAUAGGGUCACUAUGAGUCAGAAUCUACUUGCGGCACACAGCAACACCACAGGAAUAUUCAAGACCUCUCUCUUUCCUUCUUUUGCUACCUGUUCUGCAAAUGGACUUUAACCCAUCAUAAAAUGAAGCUAGUAAAAACGCUAUCGUUUACAUGUUGACCCGUUAUAAAAUGGUACUAGUGAAAAACACUAUCACUAUCAUUUACAUGCAAGGAGCCCUGGUGGUGCAGAGGUUAAGCAUUCCACUGCUAACCAAAAGGUCAGCAGUUGGAAUCCAUCAGCCUCUCCUUGGAAACCCUAUGGGGCAGUUCUACUCUCUCCUGUAGGGUCUCUAUGAGUUGGAAUCAGCUCGAUGGCAAUGGGUUUGGUUUUUUGGGUUUUUUUUUUAUGUCUAAUCUCAUUAAAUUUUCACAGCAAGUCAUUAAGGUAUGAACUAUUUUACCAUCAGCUCAAUUUUAUAAGAUGAUGAAAUUGAAGGUCAGAGAAGUUAUACAACUUGCCUGAGGACACAGAACUGGCAAACAGCUGAGGCUAGAGUUGAACCUGGAGUUCACGUGUUCACUCGUUAUACCAUACAUUAUUCUUAGCCUCUGUAUAUCAGCAACACAGAAACUCUCUAUGGCUUGUGAAAUGAUGUAUUCUAUUUAGUGUGGGCAAGAGAUGACAUGUAUAAAUCAAAAUGCAAAGAAGAAGCAGAUUCUUUAGGCAGCAGCUUAAGGUCAGGAGAUGUGAGUUUUGCCUCAAUGUAUCUCUCUAGGUCUCAUUUUUUUUCGUUGUGAAGGAGAAAUUAAAUGUUCCCUGAGCUGCCUUCCAGUUGUAACAUUCUUUAAAUCUAGUUAAGAAUAUACAUCCAAUCGAGGGGGAACAAAAUUAUUGAGUGUUAUGAAACUUAGUAACCAAACGUGUGUCCUGAUUCCUGUAAAGGUACAAUAUUCACUUGCAAUAUUUUGUGUCAUUUUAUCUUUGCCUCUUAUUUUCUUUUUCCUCUGCUUUCUUCAUUCAAACUUUAUAUUUUACUGUAUUACUUUUACAUGGUGGUCAUUGUUAGGUGCCAUCGAGUUGAUUUUUGACUCAUAGUGACCCCAUGUGACAAAGUAGAACUGCCCCAUAGAGCUCUCUUGGCUGUAAUCUUUACUGGAGCAGAUAACCAAGUCUUUCUCCCACAGAGCCGCUGGGUGGUUCAAAACACCAGACUUUCUGUUAGCAGCCGAGUGCUUAACCUUUGCACAGGUCUGGGGACUAUUGUAUUUAUAUAGGCUGUUUUAUAUCCUUUCUGGAGAGACAUGGAUGAAAUUGGCCUAAGUACUUUGAGGAUGUUUUCUAGUCAGGAUUUUAAUAUUUUAAGAUUUCUUUUACUAUAAUUUCUUAAAUGGCAAUUCAUAUAAAUAAAACAAGGACAGCAAUAAAUACAAAGGCAGAAGUUCAAAUUGAUUCACAUUCUUUAGAACAAUAACUUUAUGAACUUUAAAGACGAGCUACUGAGGGAUAAUGCUAAAGCACAUGUAGUCCUUUGAUAUCUUACAAACAGAUAAUUGUGGCUGGGAUUCUUCAUCUCCAAAUCUAUUUAAUAUCAUACUAUGCUGUGGUGAUAUAAUACUGUGGUGU
Long non-coding RNA from Loxodonta africana (African savanna elephant), 13810 nucleotides. RefSeq lists it as uncharacterized. The transcript has 3 exons. Lineage: Eukaryota; Metazoa; Chordata; Mammalia; Proboscidea; Elephantidae. The record is from RefSeq and is a predicted model, not a curated record.